Molecule: ribosomal RNA, 463 nt
Filed under: uncultured Klebsiella sp.
Lineage: Bacteria; Pseudomonadati; Pseudomonadota; Gammaproteobacteria; Enterobacterales; Enterobacteriaceae
Description: bacterial SSU rRNA
Rfam family: Bacterial small subunit ribosomal RNA
Source: RNAcentral
CCUACGGGCGGCAGCAGUGGGGAAUAUUGCACAAUGGGCGCAAGCCUGAUGCAGCCAUGCCGCGUGUGUGAAGAAGGCCUUCGGGUUGUAAAGCACUUUCAGCGGGGAGGAAGGCGGUGAGGUUAAUAACCUCAUCGAUUGACGUUACCCGCAGAAGAAGCACCGGCUAACUCCGUGCCAGCAGCCGCGGUAAUACGGAGGGUGCAAGCGUUAAUCGGAAUUACUGGGCGUAAAGCGCACGCAGGCGGUCUGUCAAGUCGGAUGUGAAAUCCCCGGGCUCAACCUGGGAACUGCAUUCGAAACUGGCAGGCUAGAGUCUUGUAGGGGGGGGUAGAAUUCCAGGUGUAGCGGUGAAAUGCGUAGAGAUCUGGAGGAAUACCGGUGGCGAAGGCGGCCCCCUGGACAAAGACUGACGCUCAGGUGCGAAAGCGUGGGAGCAAACAGGAUUAGAACCCUAGUAGUC